CCGGGUUGCGGACAGUGUCUGGUGGGUAGUUUGACUGGGGCGGUCUCCUCCCAAAGAGUAACGGAGGAGCACGAAGGUUGGCUAAUCCUGGUCGGACAUCAGGAGGUUAGUGCAAUGGCAUAAGCCAGCUUGACUGCGAGCGUGACGGCGCGAGCAGGUGCGAAAGCAGGUCAUAGUGAUCCGGUGGUUCUGAAUGGAAGGGCCAUCGCUCAACGGAUAAAAGGUACUCCGGGGAUAACAGGCUGAUACCGCCCAAGAGUUCAUAUCGACGGCGGUGUUUGGCACCUCGAUGUCGGCUCAUCACAUCCUGGGGCUGAAGUAGGUCCCAAGGGUAUGGCUGUUCGCCAUUUAAAGUGGUACGCGAGCUGGGUUUAGAACGUCGUGAGACAGUUCGGUCCCUAUCUGCCGUGGGCGCUGGAGAAUUGAGGGGGGCUGCUCCUAGUACGAGAGGACCGGAGUGGACGCAUCACUGGUGUUCGGGUUGUCAUGCCAAUGGCACUGCCCGGUAGCUAAAUGCGGAAGAGAUAAGUGCUGAAAGCAUCUAAGCACGAAACUUGCCCCGAGAUGAGUUCUCCCUGAGACUUUAAGUCUCCUGAAGGAACGUU
This 605-nucleotide ribosomal RNA is filed under the name Enterobacter hormaechei. RNAcentral's name for it is "partial 23S ribosomal RNA". It matches the Rfam family "Bacterial large subunit ribosomal RNA", at positions 2240 to 2839 of the family's 2925-position model. The record is from RNAcentral. RNAcentral also lists the same sequence under 5 other names. Lineage: Bacteria; Pseudomonadati; Pseudomonadota; Gammaproteobacteria; Enterobacterales; Enterobacteriaceae.